This 745-nucleotide ribosomal RNA is filed under the name uncultured Delftia sp. RNAcentral's name for it is "bacterial SSU rRNA". It matches the Rfam family "Bacterial small subunit ribosomal RNA", at positions 19 to 759 of the family's 1533-position model. Lineage: Bacteria; Pseudomonadati; Pseudomonadota; Betaproteobacteria; Burkholderiales; Comamonadaceae. The record is from RNAcentral.
CUGGCUCAGAUUGAACGCUGGCGGCAUGCCUUACACAUGCAAGUCGAACGGUAACAGGUCUUCGGACGCUGACGAGUGGCGAACGGGUGAGUAAUACAUCGGAACGUGCCCAGUCGUGGGGGAUAACUACUCGAAAGAGUAGCUAAUACCGCAUACGAUCUGAGGAUGAAAGCGGGGGACCUUCGGGCCUCGCGCGAUUGGAGCGGCCGAUGGCAGAUUAGGUAGUUGGUGGGAUAAAAGCUUACCAAGCCGACGAUCUGUAGCUGGUCUGAGAGGACGACCAGCCACACUGGGACUGAGACACGGCCCAGACUCCUACGGGAGGCAGCAGUGGGGAAUUUUGGACAAUGGGCGAAAGCCUGAUCCAGCAAUGCCGCGUGCAGGAUGAAGGCCUUCGGGUUGUAAACUGCUUUUGUACGGAACGAAAAAGCUCCUUCUAAUACAGGGGGCCCAUGACGGUACCGUAAGAAUAAGCACCGGCUAACUACGUGCCAGCAGCCGCGGUAAUACGUAGGGUGCGAGCGUUAAUCGGAAUUACUGGGCGUAAAGCGUGCGCAGGCGGUUAUGUAAGACAGAUGUGAAAUCCCCGGGCUCAACCUGGGAACUGCAUUUGUGACUGCAUGGCUAGAGUACGGUAGAGGGGGAUGGAAUUCCGCGUGUAGCAGUGAAAUGCGUAGAUAUGCUGAGGAACAUCCGAUGGCGAAGGCAAUCCCCUGGACCUGUAUCUGACGCUCAUGCACGACAG